Molecule: ribosomal RNA, 230 nt
Filed under: uncultured microorganism
Description: partial 16S ribosomal RNA
Rfam family: Bacterial small subunit ribosomal RNA
Source: RNAcentral
CACGUAGGGGGCAAGCGUUGUCCGGAUUUAUUGGGCGUAAAGAGCUCGUAGGCGGCUCGGUAAGUCGGGUGUGAAAACUCAGGGCUCAACCCUGAGACGCCACCCGAUACUGCUGUGGCUAGAGUCCGGUAGGGGAGCGUGGAAUUCCUGGUGUAGCGGUGAAAUGCGCAGAUAUCAGGAGGAACACCAGCGGCGAAGGCGGCGCUCUGGGCCGGAACUGACGCUGAGGA